RNAcentral lists this transfer RNA (64 nucleotides) under Thor amboinensis. RNAcentral describes it as "tRNA-Gln". The record is from RNAcentral. Lineage: Eukaryota; Metazoa; Arthropoda; Malacostraca; Decapoda; Hippolytidae.
UUUAUCAUGGUGUAAAAAACACAUUACACUUUCACUGUAAAAUUAAAGUUAACUUUUGAUAAAU